This 253-nucleotide ribosomal RNA is filed under the name uncultured bacterium. Its description in RNAcentral is "partial 16S ribosomal RNA". It matches the Rfam family "Bacterial small subunit ribosomal RNA", at positions 524 to 776 of the family's 1533-position model. The record is from RNAcentral.
UACGGAGGGUGCAAGCGUUAUCCGGAUUCACUGGGUUUAAAGGGUGCGUAGGUGGGCAGUUAAGUCAGUGGUGAAAUCUCCGGGCUCAACCCGGAAACUGCCAUUGAUACUAUCUGUCUUGAAUAUCGUGGAGGUAAGCGGAAUAUGUCAUGUAGCGGUGAAAUGCUCAGAUAUGACAUAGAACACCAAUUGCGAAGGCAGCUUACUACCCGAAUAUUGACACUGAGGCACGAAAGCGUGGGGAUCAAACAGG